UGGGGAAUAUUGCACAAUGGGCGAAAGCCUGAUGCAGCAACGCCGCGUGAGUGAUGAAGGCCUUCGGGUUGUAAAGCUCUGUCUUUUGGGACGAUAAUGACGGUACCAAAGGAGGAAGCCACGGCUAACUACGUGCCAGCAGCCGCGGUAAUACGUAGGUGGCAAGCGUUGUCCGGAUUUACUGGGCGUAAAGGAUGCGUAAGCGGAUUUUUAAGUGAGAUGUGAAAACCCUAAGCUUAACUUGGGGACUGCAUUUCAUACUGGAAAUCUAGAGUGCGGGAGAGGAGAAUGGAAUUCCUAGUGUAGCGGUGAAAUGCGUAGAGAUUAGGAAGAACACCAGUGGCGAAGGCGAUUCUCUGGACCGUAACUGACGCUGAGGCAUGAAAGCGUGGGUAGCAAACAGGAUUAGAUACCCUGGUAGUCCACGCCGUAAACGAUGAGUACUAGGUGUAGGAGGUAUCGACCCCUUCUGUGCCGCAGUUAACACAAUAAGUACUCCGCCUGGGAAGUACGAUCGCAAGAUUAAAACUCAAAUGAAUUGACGGGGUCAUAGCUGUUUCCU
This 562-nucleotide ribosomal RNA is filed under the name uncultured bacterium. Its description in RNAcentral is "partial 16S ribosomal RNA". It matches the Rfam family "Bacterial small subunit ribosomal RNA", at positions 355 to 1375 of the family's 1533-position model. The record is from RNAcentral.